CUCGCCAUGCUCAGAUGCUUGGGAUCUCGAAGCUGAGUUGCUGCUAGCAAAUUAAAAUGUAUCUGUCUUCCUCUGACCCUAUGUCAAGUCCAUACAGAAUUUUGACCUGAGGAGAAAUACUGUCAUUCCAUUUAUCUAUCUUGACACACUUAAGGUGUGUGGAAGAUUUUCUGGAUGUUUUAGAUCUGUUUCAGAAACAUAACUAAGCUGAAAUGCAGAAACAGGAGAAGAUAAAGAUGGAUUUAUGCAAGCCCUGCACAUCCAGGACAGGACCAAGAUGAAUCUCUGUGACCAGACCUGUUCAAUACACCCUUCACCUAGAGAUCUGAGGAAAUCACAUAAUACAUCACCAGCAAAACUGAAGAAAAAAUGAGAAGGAAAUGAAGCAGAAAGAAAACCUUGAGGUCUUCCACUUCUUCAAUUAAAUGUGAUGCAAGGAGGCCUACUUUAGUUAAAUCAACAGAGUUUAAAAUUACCUGUUAUUUUUCUUCAUUCUAUAGUCCAG
Molecule: long non-coding RNA, 505 nt
Filed under: Struthio camelus australis
Lineage: Eukaryota; Metazoa; Chordata; Aves; Struthioniformes; Struthionidae
Description: lncRNA (ENSSCUG00000001128.1)
Source: RNAcentral